RNAcentral lists this unclassified non-coding RNA (344 nucleotides) under soil metagenome. RNAcentral's name for it is "partial contains 5.8S ribosomal RNA, internal transcribed spacer 2, and large subunit ribosomal RNA". The stretch from base 1 to 120 matches the Rfam family "5.8S ribosomal RNA", at positions 35 to 154 of the family's 154-position model. The record is from RNAcentral.
GAUGAAGAACGUAGCGAAAUGCGAUACGUAAUGUGAAUUGCAGAAUUCAGUGAAUCAUCGAGUCUUUGAACGCACAUUGCGCCCCCUGGUAUUCCGGGGGGCAUGCCUGUCCGAGCGUCAUUGCUGCCCUCAAGCACGGCUUGUGUGUUGGGCCUCCGUCCUCCUCCCGGGGGACGGGCCCGAAAGGCAGCGGCGGCACCGCGUCCGGUCCUCGACCGUAUGGGGCUUCGUCACCCGCUCUUGUAGGCCCGGCCGGCGCUUGCCGACACAUCAAUCUUUUUUCCAGGUUGACCUCGGAUCAGGUAGGGAUACCCGCUGAACUUAAGCAUAUCAUAAGCGGAGGA